AGUGAACGCUGGCGGUAGGCCUAACACAUGCAAGUCGAACGGCAGCACAGUAAGAGCUUGCUCUUACGGGUGGCGAGUGGCGGACGAGUGAGGAAUACAUCGGAAUCUACUUUCUCGUGGGGGAUAACGUAGGGAAACUUACGCUAAUACCGCAUACGACCUACGGGUGAAAGCAGGGGAUCUUCGGACCUUGCGCGAUUGAAUGAGCCGAUGUCGGAUUAGCUAGUUGGCGGGGUAAAGGCCCACCAAGGCGACGACCCGUAGCUGGUCUGAGAGGAUGAUCAGCCACACUGGAACUGAGACACGGUCCAGACUCCUACGGGAGGCAGCAGUGGGGAAUAUUGGACAAUGGGCGCAAGCCUGAUCCAGCCAUACCGCGUGGGUGAAGAAGGCCUUCGGGUUGUAAAGCCCUUUUGUUGGGAAAGAAAAGCAGCAGGUUAAUACCCCGCUGUUCUGACGGUACCCAAAGAAUAAGCACCGGCUAACUUCGUG
RNAcentral lists this ribosomal RNA (492 nucleotides) under uncultured bacterium. RNAcentral's name for it is "partial 16S ribosomal RNA". It matches the Rfam family "Bacterial small subunit ribosomal RNA", at positions 29 to 507 of the family's 1533-position model. The record is from RNAcentral.